RNAcentral lists this long non-coding RNA (1463 nucleotides) under Homo sapiens (human). RNAcentral's name for it is "non-protein coding UBAC2-AS1:13". Lineage: Eukaryota; Metazoa; Chordata; Mammalia; Primates; Hominidae. The record is from RNAcentral.
CUCCAGGUUGAAACGAUGGCGGUCAGAACCGCCUGAGCUAAAUGCAAGAUGGUAUGGCAUCCAGACUCUGCUCAUAAGUAUCUGCAGUGAUCCAUACCUUGAUUGUACAUCUACUCUGCAUCCUGAGGACCUGAACAUGCUAACUGGUGGCUGCAGAUUUGUCUUCUAAGGAGCAAGUGUGGUCUGUGGACAGGCAGCUUCAGCCUCACCUGGGAUUUUGUUUGCACUAGAAAGUGCCAAGCCCUACCCUAGACCUAUUAAAGCAGAACUGGCGUUUAACAAGACACCCCAGGUAAUUUGUGUGCACCUUAGAGUCUGAGAUGCACUAGUGUAGUGAUUCGCAGGGGGACAAUUUUGACCUCCAGGGGACAAUAUCUGGAGACAUUUUUGGGUGUCACAACGUGCUGGGGAGAGGGUGCUACUGGCAUCUAAUGGGCUGAGGCCAAGGGUGCUGCUAAACAUCUGGCAAUACCGGGCCAACCUCCCCCCUCCUCCUGCCCACAGUAAAGAAUUACCCCGCCUGGAUUGUCAGUAGUGCAGAGGUAGAGGAAACCCUACACCUGUGAAACUCAUCUGACCUUUACUAUGAAUUCCUGGAUCUCCUGGUGCAUAUCAUUUCUGUUGCCCUGGCUGACAUUUCCACCUUUUCUCUUUUCUAGAUUUUAUUACAAGAACUCAAUCUGUUGGUCUCUAGGAAUCACCUAUUGCCUUGCUAUGUUUUGUUGAACCUGUUUUUGAAUCUGCUUUCUACAUUGGGGAAAUAGGUAUACGUUUGUAAACCUUAAAAGCUCUGUAUGCUAUAAGGAAAUCACCAGACACGUGGAUAAGCUUUGCAGAGGUGAAGGGCUGUCUCCACCAGAGAGACCCAGAAGGAGUCAGGGUAAGCCUGACUCAUCAUGAGAUCAGGUAUCCCCAAUCCACAGCGGACUUCCACAGUUCACCUUCCUAGGUAACCGCUCUGCCUUCCCAGGUAAAGUAGGAAUAAUAUCAGAACUUACAGCAUAUUUUGAGGUCAAAUUGUAGAAUUUGGUGAUUUCAUUUUUAUUAUUACUCAACCUUUUAUUUACAACCAAAUUAAUAAGGCUACUUACACAUAACAAUGUGUGGACAUACACAUUAAGAGAAUCAUUUGCUGCCUAGCACUCCUACCUAGGUACUUUAAGAACAUCAUUGAGUGGAUACUCCCUCUGCUGGGUAAAAUACUUUGCCACAAUAUCAGCUGAAAUGAUACCUCUUCCAGACUGUAAUGGCAGAAGUAGUUAUCCCCUCUUUCGUGCUGUCAUCACACUUGAUGCAUGCCUACUUUAUAAUACUUAUGCCAUUGUCUCUGUUAUUGGGUUUCUGUCUUCUACUGUGAAAGGGUGAGCCCAUAAAAAACAGGGAAUGUGUCUUUCAAAAUGUUGUAUCCUGCUCAUUCUGAUGUGAAGCCAUUGUCCUCCUUCAAUAAAAUAAAACAGCAUUUC